This 376-nucleotide ribosomal RNA is filed under the name uncultured bacterium. RNAcentral's name for it is "bacterial SSU rRNA". It matches the Rfam family "Bacterial small subunit ribosomal RNA", at positions 524 to 898 of the family's 1533-position model. The record is from RNAcentral.
UACGUAGGGAGCGAGCGUUGUCCGGAAUUACUGGGUGUAAGGGGCGUGUAGGCGGGAUUGCAAGUCAGAUGUGAAAUACCGAGGCUUAACUUCGGGGCUGCAUUUGAAACUGUGAUUCUUGAGUGAUGGAGAGGAAAGCGGAAUUCCUAGUGUAGCGGUGAAAUGCGUAGAUAUUAGGAGGAACACCAGUGGCGAAGGCGGCUUUCUGGACAUUUACUGACGCUGAUGCGCGAAAGCGUGGGGAGCAAACAGGAGUAGAUACCCUGGUAGUCCACGCUGUAAACGAUGAUUACUAGGUGUGGGGGGUAUUGACCCCCGCCGUGCCGGAGUUAACACAAUAAGUAAUCCACCUGGGGAGUACGAUCGCAAGAUUGAA